Long non-coding RNA from Pocillopora verrucosa, 794 nucleotides. RefSeq lists it as uncharacterized. Lineage: Eukaryota; Metazoa; Cnidaria; Anthozoa; Scleractinia; Pocilloporidae. The record is from RefSeq and is a predicted model, not a curated record.
UCGAUUUAAACACCGAAGAUAAUUAGUUCUUUUGAUUCUUUACAUUUCGCGUAAUGAGCUAAGACAGGGUCUUCCUCGCAGGAAAUCAGAGAGAGAUACACAUUACGAGUUGCGGUCAAACUGAAUCACCCCAAAACCAACAAAAGUUCCUCCUAUAAAUUCAAUCAGGGUUCAACUGCUGUUUCGUUUGAGGAAAGCCGAAGAAUGGCAGCCGUUUUAAGGUCGAUCUUUGGAUUCCCCCUGUGUUGCUUUCCUUGUUUAGGGAAAGCGAAGAAGAAUCCAGUGUCACAAGCCAGUGCAGGAAUCGGAGAUUUGUGUGGUUCAUCUGGAGCAGAGGAGAAAUGUCCCCUUUUCAAAAUUUUUGAUGGAUCUUCCUCAAGCGCAAGUGGUCAGCGGAAAACUCCAACUGGAAAGAAGAAGACGUCCAUUCGGGAUGUUUGAGAGGCAAUCGUGGCUCAAAUUACCUCUAUUUGUCAAUGUUGUCCGACCACGUAGGUCAAUGCUUGGACGUUAUCCAAAUAAAUCUAGUACGCUAACAUUUAUAAAUUGGAUAGUUAAUAGAAAAAAAAAAAGUAAAAUAGAGCUCUUGUAACGUUAAACAUGUCAAUAACAAGGAAUUCCAUUGUCAACAAUGAGUACAUCGUUUAUAUAGACCCGUAAACAUAUAACAAAAGGAAGACUUAAUUCGACGUUAAAUCCGACACAUAUUAACUGUACAACAUGGGUUUAAAAAUCUGUGGUCUGUGGGUAGACUUUUGUAAAUGUGUAGACAUUGCAAACAAGACAAAAUAAAA